Molecule: unclassified non-coding RNA, 2420 nt
Filed under: Hevea brasiliensis (rubber tree)
Lineage: Eukaryota; Viridiplantae; Streptophyta; Magnoliopsida; Malpighiales; Euphorbiaceae
Source: RNAcentral
AGAGAGAGAGAGAGAGAGAGUGAGCAGAGAAGGAAAGAACUCGAAAAUGGACGAUUACGCCAGAGAAAUGAUGGACCUCAAGACUCUCGUCACUCGAACCCUGGAGAAGAAGGGCGUCCUCGCUAAGAUCCGGGCUGAACUCAGGGCAAGUGUCUUUGAGGCAAUUGAAGAGGAGGAUAGGGUAAUUGAAAAGGAAGAGGGCUUACCUCCUGCAUUGUUGGGGAGCUGCAAUGAACGCGCAAAGCAACUUCAUGCUUCUCCUUCAGGGAGGUUGCUAACUGCACUGAUAUGUGAAUAUUUGGACUGGGCACAACUGAAUCAUACGCAUAAAGUUUAUCUGCCAGAGUGCAAUUUGCAAAAGGAUUUUUGGAAAGCUGAGUUGAAGGAAUUUAGUAGUAAGAAUGGAUAUGAUAUAAACAGAAAUGGCGAUAGUGGUCCUUUGCUUUUGGAUGUUCUUGAAGGAUUCUUGAAGUUUGAGAAUUUAUCCCAAGGAAGAGGUAUUGGAAGGAGAGUAUCAGAAGCUGAGUCCUUAUCUACCUUAGAUUCAAGGAAUGUUCGAAGACCCUCUUCAUCAUCUGUUGCUGGUGGUUUACCUCCAUUAGGAAGGUGCUGUGCUUUCCUACUUUCCAUUUCUCUCUCUCUCUCCACCCACCCCCCCUCCUCUUCUCCUUUCUUCUCCUUCUCUUUUGCUUUUCUUUGUGUAUAGUCUUUGCUAUUUCUCUUCUCUUGGACUGGUAAUGGUUUUCUUUUGGUUUUUUGGCAUUUUUUUUUUCUAGGCCAGCUUCUUCUCAGACAUCCGGUGAGUUACUAGUCUAAGUGUCAUUUUUACUACUAUAUCCUUGAUUCUUGAUCCCUUUAUCUGAUGCCAUAUGUGAUCACAUCUAGAUAGGAGAGCAGGAUCCUCCAUGUCUAGUUACAGGAAAGAUGAAUAUAAUUGGAGAUAUGACAAUGAUGAACUUCCAGAAGAUGUGAUACGAGCUUCAGCUGCACUGGAAAACCUUCAGUUGGACAGGAAGGCUCACAAUCUAACUACAUCUUGGCGGUAAGUUUUCUCAUCCCCACUGAAACAAAAUUCUUCCAUUAUUGGAAAUGUAAAUUUUGGAUGUGUUCUGGUAAGUAUGACCUGGACAAUGGGAAAAUGGGCCAUAGUUAAGGAGUUGUAAAACCUUGUAGUAGAAGGGGAAAAAGAAUGCUCUAUAUAGUGGAAGUUUAGGCAUUAUUUCCUAGUAGUUUCUCUUGUUCAUGCAUGCAUUCCAUUCGUGGUGCUAAGGGAUUGGCUUGGUACUGUUAGAGUUGAUAAUGUUGAUAUUUGAAAAAUAUCAGUUGUACCUUGUGGAUGUUUUAUAUUGCGCCAGCAAAAUGAUGUAUUUUAAAGCUUAGAAUCCAUCAACCACAGUUGUUUUUUCUACAGCCUUUUUUUUUCUUUCUUUGUUUUGUGAUCCUUUCCUGCUGUACUUUACAUUUUCACCCCAAUCUGGAAUUCCUUGUUAUGCUAGAAUCUGUCAUGCUGUGCGUACUGUUUGGCAUAGUGAAGAUAGAAUGUCAUUUGGGUUGUGUGAAUCCCUGCUUUUUUUGUAUUUGUACAAGUUCCACAACGUAUGAAUGCUGUAAUCAUACACAGAGGUAUCCUUCCUCAUCUUCUAUUUUCCCUCUCUGGUGUGUCGUAUUGAUGGUUUUGAGUGGCUAUAUUGAUUCUGAUUGUGGGCUAGCAAAUGUGUACAAAGAGAUACGUACUAUUUCUAGGCUUCAUAGCUUUGCUUUCUGGAAUUUUACUUUUUGUUUUGUUCAAAACUAGCUUCCUUUGAGUUCUGAUUAUCUGUUUGGGAAAUGAUUCGCUUAAGUAACCUAGUAGUUAAUGUUUUUGGUGUGGUUAGCCUCCUAAGCCUAUGUAUUGGGUUAUGUUGCAGGCGUGCUGGGGAUGGAAUGAGUGAUGAUGAUGGCAGGGUCGACCAUAUUUAGCUGAAUGGCGUCCUCUGUGACACUGCACUUGUAGUUUAGUGUGUAUUUUUAAUUUUAAUCUAUCAAAUGUUUUAUUGACAGGAAAAAAGGGUAGUGAUUUUAUGUAAGUCUUCUCUUUCCUUCUUUUUUCCCCCAAAAUAUGUUGAGGUGAUUUAUUGUUUUGUAUGAGCUUCCUUGAUUUCACUUAUAUUAUGGAAUCCAUUUUGAUACUCCAUAAAUGUAGGCCUCAUUUAGUGUUGUCGUCAAAUUCUCUACAUGUAAAGUUACUUUGAUGGAUACAUUGAUAGAGAUACCAUGUGCUAGUCUGAAAGAAGAAGCCAACUUGCAUCGGUACCCAUUAUAACAUGUAGCAUGAUCAUUUGAUAAGCUAGCUGGGCACAGGGUAGAAUUGUUGAUGUGGAUAAAUAAACUGGGAGUAUGCUUUCAGUAAUUACACUUGUACAUUAGCUUUGGUUGUUCCU